CGGAUUGCAGGCUGCAACCCGCCUGUAUGAAGUUGGAAUCGCUAGUAAUCGCGGAUCAGCAUGCCGCGGUGAAUACGUUCCCGGGCCUUGUACACACCGCCCGUCACACCAUGAGAGUCGGGAACACCCGAAGUCCGUAGCCUAACCGCAAGGGGGGCGCGGCCGAAGGUGGGUUCGAUAAUUGGGGUGAAGUCGUAACAAGGUAGC
This 207-nucleotide ribosomal RNA is filed under the name uncultured bacterium. RNAcentral describes it as "partial 16S ribosomal RNA". It matches the Rfam family "Bacterial small subunit ribosomal RNA", at positions 1294 to 1500 of the family's 1533-position model. The record is from RNAcentral.